GCAAACUUGGUCAUUUAGAGGAAGUAAAAGUCGUAACAAGGUUUCCGUAGGUGAACCUGCGGAAGGAUCAUUACAGAAUCGCGGCGAAGGGGCCCCAAAGCCCCGGAGCCAACGCAUUCUACCCUGUCUUUUGUAUACCCUCACAUCCUCCCCAGCCCUCGGGCUGGGAUGGCUACUCAAAAAAACCUUGCAGUUUACAGUCAAUUCAGUUUUUUAUAACAAAAUUAAAACUUUCAACAAUGGAUCUCUUGGCUCUGGCAUCGAUGAAGAACGCAGC
Molecule: unclassified non-coding RNA, 277 nt
Filed under: uncultured fungus
Lineage: Eukaryota; Fungi
Description: partial contains small subunit ribosomal RNA, internal transcribed spacer 1, and 5.8S ribosomal RNA
Rfam family: Eukaryotic small subunit ribosomal RNA (bases 1-73)
Source: RNAcentral